Molecule: ribosomal RNA, 450 nt
Filed under: uncultured bacterium
Lineage: Bacteria
Description: bacterial SSU rRNA
Rfam family: Bacterial small subunit ribosomal RNA
Source: RNAcentral
UCGAGGAUCUUCCGCAAUGAGCGCAAGCUUGACGGAGCGACGCCGCGUGUGGGAUGAAGGCCUUCGGGUUGUAAACCACUGUCACUCGUUAAGAAAGGGUUGGGGGUUAACAGCCUCCAGCACUGACGAAGGCGAGAGAGGAAGCCACGGCUAACUUCGUGCCAGCAGCCGCGGUAAGACGAAGGUGGCGAGCGUUGUUCGGAAUCACUGGGCAUAAAGCGCACGUAGGCGGUGCCGUAAGUCAGAUGUGAAAUCCCUCGGCCUAACCGAGGAACUGCGUCCGAUACUGCGGUGCUUGAGGACCAGAGGGGUGCAUGGAAUUUCCGGUGGAGCGGUGAAAUGCGUUGAUAUCGGAAGGAACUCCGGCGGCGAAAGCGAUGCACUGGCUGGUUUCUGACGCUGAGGUGCGAAAGCCAGGGGAGCAAACGGGAUUAGAUACCCCCGUAGUCC